GCCUCGUCUAGCGUGGGA
RNAcentral lists this small nuclear RNA (18 nucleotides) under Arabidopsis thaliana (thale cress). Its description in RNAcentral is "snRNA_04047". The record is from RNAcentral. Lineage: Eukaryota; Viridiplantae; Streptophyta; Magnoliopsida; Brassicales; Brassicaceae.